Molecule: long non-coding RNA, 226 nt
Organism: Xiphophorus maculatus (southern platyfish)
Lineage: Eukaryota; Metazoa; Chordata; Actinopteri; Cyprinodontiformes; Poeciliidae
Exons: 3
Source: RefSeq, a predicted model, not a curated record
CCAACGUCCAGGAGCAUCCCAUGUCCUCAGAGGGCCAGAACCACUUCUAUCGCAACUACACAAAUGUGUACGCACCAAUAAUUGUUGACAGCGACUCUGAGCCGGAUGAAUAUGUGAUGCAGUUCCCUGAGCAAAGUACAGACAACGUGACUGCUGCAGACAUCAUUUCAGAGCUCUCGGCAAUGAUCACGUCAUCAUCUCUCAGCCGCUUUAACAUAAACAGAGC